This 355-nucleotide long non-coding RNA is filed under the name Androctonus crassicauda. Lineage: Eukaryota; Metazoa; Arthropoda; Arachnida; Scorpiones; Buthidae. The record is from RNAcentral.
AUGAUAAAAUAUUAUCCAUGUUUUCGGAAAACAGAAAAAUGGCCAAAAAGUAUUUUUCUACCUUGUGAACAUUUCUUGUACAAACGCAUUGAUUUUGUAUAACAGACAAUUUUCAGAACAUAAAUCAUCUUUAUUAGAUUUUAUGCUUGAUAUCAUUAGACAGAUGUUGAUGAAAAGAGAUGAUAUUUGUACUCCAUCCACAUCAUCUUUCCUCUCCAGUUCUGAUCCUGUACAUCGUCUAUCAGAAAGGAUUUCAGAUCAUUCACCAAUUUCAAAUACUCCUGGGAAGAAAGGGCACUCAAAAAUGCGAAAAUGUAGAGUUUGUUCAAAUAAAAAUAAAAGAAAACGAUCGUCA